RNAcentral lists this ribosomal RNA (404 nucleotides) under uncultured bacterium. Its description in RNAcentral is "bacterial SSU rRNA". It matches the Rfam family "Bacterial small subunit ribosomal RNA", at positions 28 to 435 of the family's 1533-position model. The record is from RNAcentral.
GACGAACGCUGGCGGCGUGCUUAACACAUGCAAGUCGAGCGGUAAGGCCCUUUCGGGGGUACACGAGCGGCGAACGGGUGAGUAACACGUGGGUGACCUGCCCUCAGCUCUGGGAUAAGCCUGGGAAACCGGGUCUAAUACCGGAUAUGACUCCAUGACGCAUGUUGUGGGGUGGAAAGCCUUGUGCGGCUGAGGAUGGGCCCGCGGCCUAUCAGCUUGUUGGUGGGGUGANGGCCUACCAAGGCGACGACGGGUAGCCGGCCUGAGAGGGCGACCGGCCACACUGGGACUGAGACACGGCCCAGACUCCUACGGGAGGCAGCAGUGGGGAAUCUUGCGCAAUGGGCGAAAGCCUGACGCAGCGACGCCGCGUGAGGGAUGACGGCCUCGGUUGUAACGUACUU